Long non-coding RNA from Anopheles merus, 1707 nucleotides. RefSeq lists it as uncharacterized. Lineage: Eukaryota; Metazoa; Arthropoda; Insecta; Diptera; Culicidae. The record is from RefSeq and is a predicted model, not a curated record. The transcript is spliced from 6 exons.
UGUAGGAAUUUCCUGGAAUUUUUUGGUCGGCCUACGCUCGCGGGAAUGGUGGGUCCGUUGAUGAGAAGGAAAGAAAGGGUGGGAGCGAGGAUUAACCAAAAACGCGGCAUUGAGAAUGAGGGGAAGUGCGCUCAGCACUCACGCUGGGUCACUCAGGAUGCUUGAAAUAAAAUGUUAACAAGCAUCGAUUUCAAGCAUGCAUGUCGCGCGACAUUUUGCCAAGCGGGUUUCCACGUCAUCUAAAUCCGUUCAUUUUUGCUUUACCAUGACAAAGCACCAUAGUUCAGUCAAAGUAAGGUUGUAACCUGACUCAAUUGGUAUAACAUAUAUUACAUAAAAUAUAAAAUAAUACACACAAAACUUAGGAAUUCUCUUGCGUAGAUCAAACUAGAGAGCAUUUAGUUCUGUAAAGUUGAUUACUACACACGGAUGGUUGAUGAUAAAGCUUUUCAUAGGAAGCAUAUGUUGUGCAAUUUGAGCACAAAAUAUAACCAAUUGCAUUUCAUAUAAUGUGCAUAUAACUUAAAUGGCUUAUUGCCCUGAGGCCAGGAUAUGUAACAUGACAAAGCCUCAGUUAUAUUACAAUGUACCCAAAAUCAACUUUUGCGUUAAACCGUGUUAAUCGACAUUACAAUAGUUAAAAUAGCAAUAUCGAUUAUAAAAACUUUUUUGAGCAUCACAUCCGCGAAAGACGAUGUUAGCAAACAGGCAAAGCAAACACUUCACAAAAAGAACACAAAAUGCACAGGCACAAUGCUACCGUCAGACACACUAGACGGUUUACAUAAAUUCAACGAUAAGAUGGCAUACUAUAUGGUGGAACCACACAAGCAGGACUUCCGCUUCGUUAAAAAUUUGUGUCACGCGAACUCAUCAAGAACCGGACGAAAGCAAUUAUGUUGCAAAGACAAAAAGAGGAAGGCGAAGAAACACAACAUUGAAUAACGUACAUCACAAAGGUUGACCUAAGGAAAAAGAAUGGUGUUUUGCUUUUUUCCAACGUUACAGUUACUUCAGAAGUUCUACCAAUGACCAUUAGAAGGCGAUGCACGUGUUUGUACUGGCCCAUUGGGAUCUUGGCACUACUUUUACCUCCGCCCAGCCAGCUGCACUUACAUAAGAAAGUGGCACUAAAUAGUUUGAUUACUGCAUCGUUUAUUCGAUUUUCUGGAGUAACAGAACCGGUCUUGGCGGGUCAUCGACAGUCUCUUUCGAAGAACAACUAGCACUACUAGCAGAGCAAUAUGAGCAGCGAUUGAUGCAAUCCUUUCCACUGCCGAGCGGUUCCUUUCCAAUGCUUAUUGUACAGAGAGACCAUCGAAAAAGGCCAACGAAGGAGGUUCAUCGACGUCAACGUUGCCAAAUGUCUCCGUAGGAUGGUUUUCCACAGCUCGCUCGACAAUUUUAUCUUUCACAAUUGCCGGAGAUGGUUCACAGACGUCAACGCAGGAUAAUGAUGAUGUGCUGUCGUUUAUCGCCGCAGAUUGAUUUGAAACACCGUCAAAAAGGGCCAACACAGGUGGUUCAUACACAACAUUACUGGACACUCGUUGUAAGAUACGAUUUUCCACUGCACAUUGCGAUGUUUCACCGCCAAAAAAGGCCAAGGGGGGCGGCUCAGUAACGCCACUGCCCGCUUGGCAAAGAGUAACUCAUUUUGAAGCCUCUCGCUACCCCUGGCCUUAGUUUUAAAGGAAUCAUGCGACA